This 253-nucleotide ribosomal RNA is filed under the name uncultured bacterium. RNAcentral's name for it is "partial 16S ribosomal RNA". It matches the Rfam family "Bacterial small subunit ribosomal RNA", at positions 524 to 776 of the family's 1533-position model. The record is from RNAcentral.
UACGGAGGGUGCAACCGUUGCUCGGAAUCACUGGGCGUAAAGCGCACGUAGGCGGCUCGUUAAGUCGGGUGUGAAAGCCCUCGGCUCAACCGAGGAAGUGCAUUCGAAACUGGCGAGCUUGAGUAUGGAAGAGGGUCGCGGAAUUCCCGGUGUAGAGGUGAAAUUCGUAGAUAUCGGGAGGAACACCAGUGGCGAAGGCGGCGACCUGGGCCAAUACUGACGCUGAGGUGCGAAAGCGUGGGGAGCAAACAGG